UUUACCUGGUUGAUCCUGCCAGUAGUCAUAUGCUUGUCUCAAAGAUUAAGCCAUGCAUGUCUAAGUACAGGCCGAAUUAAGGCGAAACCGCGAAUGGCUCAUUAAAUCAGUUAUGGUUCAUUGGAUCUUACCUUGUCCUACUUGGAUAACUGUGGUAAUUCUAGAGCUAAUACAUGCGAGCAAGCCCCGACCAGCGAUGGGAAGGGCGCUUUUAUUAGAUCAAAACCAAUCGGGCUCUUCGGGGCCCGUACCCCAGUGGUGACUCUGAAUAACUUUGUGCUGAGCGCACGGUCCUGGUACCGGCGCCGAAUCCUUCAAGUGUCUGCCUUAUCAGCUUUCGAUUGUAGGUUAUGCGCCUACAAUGGCUAUAACGGGUAACGGGGAAUCAGGGUUCGAUUCCGGAGAGGGAGCCUGAGAAACGGCUACCACAUCUAAGGAAGGCAGCAGGCACGCAAAUUACCCACUCCCGGCACGGGGAGGUAGUGACGAAAAAUAACGAUGCGAGACUCAUCUGAGGCUUCGCAAUCGGAAUGAGUACACUUUAAAUCCUUUAACGAGGAUCUAUUGGAGGGCAAGUCUGGUGCCAGCAGCCGCGGUAAUUCCAGCUCCAAUAGCGUAUAUUAAAGUUGCUGCGGUUAAAAAGCUCGUAGUUGGAUUCGAGUCACGGAGCAAGGGUUCACCGCCCGGUGCUUACUCUCUGCGAUCCGGACGUUGAUGUCGGCGUGGCACGGGGUGCUCUUCACCGAGUGUCCCGGCGCCGCCGACGAGUUUACUUUGAAAAAAUUAGAGUGCUCAGAGCAGGCCGUUCCUGACGCGCCUGAAUAGUUGUGCAUGGAAUAAUGGAAUAGGACCUCGGUUCUAUUUUCCGUUGGUUUUCGGAACCCGAGGUAAUGACUAAUAGGAACAGUCGGGGGCAUUCGUAUUGCGACGUUAGAGGUGAAAUUCUUGGAUCGUCGCAAGACGAACUACUGCGAAUGCAUUUGCCAAGAAUGUCUUCAUUAAUCAAGAACGAAAGUUAGAGGUUCGAAGGCGAUCAGAUACCGCCCUAGUUCUAACCAUAAACGAUGCCAACUAGCGAUCCGCCGGCGUUAUUCCCAUGACUCGGCGGGCAGCUUCCGGGAAACCAAAGUUUUUGGGUUCCGGGGGAAGUAUGGUUGCAAAGCUGAAACUUAAAGGAAUUGACGGAAGGGCACCACCAGGAGUGGAGCCUGCGGCUUAAUUUGACUCAACACGGGGAACCUCACCAGGCCCGGACACCGAAAGGAUUGACAGAUUGAGAGCUCUUUCUCGAUUCGGUGGGUGGUGGUGCAUGGCCGUUCUUAGUUGGUGGAGCGAUUUGUCUGGUUAAUUCCGAUAACGAACGAGACUCAAA
RNAcentral lists this ribosomal RNA (1372 nucleotides) under Vejdovskybathynella sp. MNCN ADN 54707. Its description in RNAcentral is "SSU rRNA". It matches the Rfam family "Eukaryotic small subunit ribosomal RNA", at positions 1 to 1346 of the family's 1831-position model. Lineage: Eukaryota; Metazoa; Arthropoda; Malacostraca; Bathynellacea; Bathynellidae. The record is from RNAcentral.